UGGAUCUGUGGAAAUUAGGCACUAAAAAUUAGGAGCAGGAAAUCAGGGAAGUCUUCAAGAAAGAAGAGAUAUAUCUGGGAGGUUAAGGAUGGCCUAAGAUGAGAAGCAAAUGCUCAACUUUGCUUAGUUUGGCUAAAUUCAAAAGUAGUUCCUGCUCAUUUCCAAAGAAAGUCAAUCAAGGGCACUUAACAAUGCCUCAUGUUGUAAUACUCCCAUUUAUUUUAUUUUCAUUUUGGAAUUCAUCUUCUUUAGGUGGUCUGGGGUCCCAUUAGGAAUGCUAGCCCACUUUACACAGAAAACAGAAUUAUUGUUAAGGGUUAAGUGCAUGGGCUCUGGAAUGAGACCUUGGAAGGGUUGCUGCAUUUCCCCAUACUUUGGUUUCCUCAACAGUAAAACAGCAUUGAUAACAACUCCACUGGGUCAUUCUGUGAUUCAUCAUAUAAAACAGAAAGUUGCUGUGGACAAGAAGGCUGCUGGAACUGGCAAUGUCACCAAGUCUAUUCAGAAAGUGAAGAAGGCGAAGAUCUGAGGAGGCGUUGAGAAGCUACCGCAACCCCCAUUGCAAGCUGGGGCUCGUACACACGGAACACCACAGCUGAAGGGAAUAUGAGUUUUAUUCCUGUGGCAUGCAUCUGCUCACUUCUCAGGACCGAAUGCUCUCUGUCAGCUCUUACUGUCGGGAACUUGCUGUCUAUCUGGAGAUACAGACAACUGAAUGAAAAGGCACUCUGACAGUGUUUUACUGUGUAACUGGAACACACUAGAGGAAAAUAUAGCACAUAUUCUAUGGUACAUAUGGUAUGUGUUUGCAGAGGAUUGGAGGAGACAUGAGGACCAGCUGUCUGCAGAAAUGGAUAGCUAAGGAGAAAUCAGGAGAGCAUGCCAGAUUUAUCCAAGUAAGAGGGAGAAGAAGAGUGUUCUAAGUAGAGACAGCAGCAAGUCAAAGAAAGAGCCUCAAGUGAGCAAGUGAUGCACAUUUGGGCUGUGCAGUUGGCACAGCUGGAGCAGACACUGCAAGCUAGGAAGAAAGGAGCUGACUGUUCAAGAGGUAGGCAGGGACCAUCUAGCAGGGAUCAGAAAACUACGGGCCCCGGGCCGAAUCCAGCCAUAUCCAGUCACCUCUAUUCAUGGAUGUAUACCUGUUUUUACACUACAAUGGUAGAAUUGCAUACUGACAACAUAGAUCCUGGUCCACAAAGCCAAACAUAUUCACUAUCUGGCCCUUACAGAAACAGUCUGUUAUUGCAAAGAGACUCGGAUUUUAUGAGGGGAUUGGGAUUUCAGCAGGGGAGAGGCACGACACAUUUGCAUUUCAGACCUGCCUUUGUGGUGGUUGCCAUGGAGAGUGUGGAAUGAGACAGGGACGGACUAGGGUUGGAAGACCAGCAGUGUCUUACUUCUCUGAGGUCUACAGACCCCGUGCCAAGAAGACCAUGUCCCAGUUUUCUUUAUAUCACUUGCUGCACCAAAACAUCAUACACGGCUCAUCAAUGUUACCAAGUGAAUGAAUAUAUGAAUGAAUGGGCAAGAGAAGAUGAGAGAAACACGUAUUUUGGCACUGAAAACAGUAGUAAACAUUAUGAUGAUAAUUGUAACAAUAAAACAAUUACAUUUGGUUCUCUGUGCCCAUCUCUUCAGUAAGUAUAUUAUUUACAUUGGUGUAUUUAAUCCUCUUAACAAUCCCCUGAAGUAGAGACACAAUCCCCCAACCCCUCAUUUUAUAGAUGAUAAAACUGAGGUUAAACAGCAGGCCCAAGGUCACACUGGUUUUUGGUAUGUAAAGUAGUCAUGGUUUGAACUCAGAUCUGCCUUUCUCUAAAGUUUAUCUUCCUCCUUCCCAACUUUCCCAGGGCUGUGACAGGGGUCUCCCUUGGCCAGCACAUGCUUUGGAAAGACAAAUACAGAAAUGUCAGUGAUGGGCAUUUUAAGGUGUUCUCCAUCACAUCGAUACUCAGAAAGCCAAAUGAGGAUUAAAGAAAGCAUCCAUAGGACAAAGCCCUGAUCAUCAUAAUGGGUGCCAGUGGUAGCUCAUGUAUUUUGCUUCAGCAAGCCAAACCUUCCCCCUGCAGCAUCACAGGCCACCAGGGGAAGGGAGUCAGAGUCUGGCAUGACAGGAACACUUCAAAAGCUUGUUGUGAGUAAGGCUCUGCCAAUUUCACUGCCCAAGUCCCUCCUACCUGUUAGCCACGGCAGGGCUGGUGGCUUGCUCACUUUCAUACAUCGUCAUCAUUCAACAGUUUAUAGGUUUGAAGGGACCCAAUUCCCCUCCUCCACUUCCUUUGAUGAACCCCUCUUUCCCCUUCUCCUUUUAGGAUUUAUCUUGGCCUGAUGAGCCAUUUGUCCCAAGAACCCCUGAAGAGCAUUUCUGGGAACACAGUUGUGUAUAGGAGCUGAUUACACCACAACAGUAGCCCCGGAAAAACGAAGAAUACAUAUUGUCAAGUUAGUUUCUGGUACAGAACGAGUUUUUGAUGAACUGUGGCUUCCCUCAUACCCUACUUGCUACUCAGGAGGCCCCCAGCAAAUGGAUGAACACCUUUAAAACUUAAUGUUCCAUUUCUUCUCAUCUUUGUCUAAUUCUUCUUUCUUUUAGUGUGUCUUCUCCUGCUGAUAAUUGGAUUUUUCCAAGAAAAUUGACCAAGCACCUUCUUUACCAUCAGUUUAUGGUUACAGCAAUAUUCUGACCCAGUAAGGUUCUGUGAAUAACCCUCUACAACCUCAGACAGGACAUUCAUGUGAAGAUAAAAACUGCAAGUUGUCCCUGGAAGGCAAUAUAAUUGGAUCUUAUUGGGAGGCACCGAAAGCUACUGUCAGAAAGCUUUCUUGCGUAGAGCUAUGCUUUCUCCUGUCGUACAUAACUAUCCGUGUUCUUAACCAGCACCAGCACCUUCCAUACUGCAUUCCAUUUCACACCAUCUGUCAAAUAUUGGAUAGUGUGCCCUUCUAAACUUUGUGACUUGUGUGAAAUCCUCCCAGGCAAGAGCGGCCUCACAGAAUUGGUACUUCACACCAUUACCUGAGGAAUUCUGACCAGGUGCUGCAGAAAGAGAGCUCCAAAUUACUUAGACAGUAAAAGAAGUUUCUGUUUUCAUUGUCUUAAAUGUGCAGCCUGGA
Molecule: long non-coding RNA, 3114 nt
Organism: Herpailurus yagouaroundi (jaguarundi)
Lineage: Eukaryota; Metazoa; Chordata; Mammalia; Carnivora; Felidae
Exons: 3
Source: RefSeq, a predicted model, not a curated record